Molecule: long non-coding RNA, 364 nt
Organism: Homarus americanus (American lobster)
Lineage: Eukaryota; Metazoa; Arthropoda; Malacostraca; Decapoda; Nephropidae
Exons: 3
Source: RefSeq, a predicted model, not a curated record
CGUUCUGCGACUUCGCCUAUAAAUACAUAAUUUGGAUCUGGUGGAGACAGUUCCUCAGUGCUGUCGUGACGAUAACUAUCUCAUCUCCCGUCCUACUGCGUAAGAGAAUGAAGACGGGUGCUUCAGUGAUGCGUUCUUAUCUUGCGGUCGUUGCUGUGUCGCACGCUGUCACUGCCAAGCUGCCUCUCCCUACAGUGGGACGUGAGGUGAGGUUAGGCCUGGGUCAGGCAGUGGAUGCUGUGCUGGAUGCCAUGGUGGAGACCAACUGCUCCUUCAUCCUGCUCACUGAUGGUGCCACCUCCUACACCACUGUAUACGAGGCACUGCAAAAUUAUUCUCUUUUAAUAUAAUCUGUGUGUGUCAC